UGAUCCGGCCCCUCGUGCGGCGUCAUCCAGUGAAUCCCCCAGGACCGGGAGGUAGCAAGGGUAAGCGGGCUCUGGCGGGUGCGCGAGGGGUCCUCAUUUCCCU
Molecule: signal recognition particle RNA, 103 nt
Filed under: Actinomyces massiliensis F0489
Lineage: Bacteria; Bacillati; Actinomycetota; Actinomycetes; Actinomycetales; Actinomycetaceae
Description: Bacterial signal recognition particle RNA
Rfam family: Bacterial small signal recognition particle RNA
About the family: The signal recognition particle (SRP) is a universally conserved ribonucleoprotein involved in the co-translational targeting of proteins to membranes.
Source: RNAcentral